This is an unclassified non-coding RNA of Macaca fascicularis (crab-eating macaque), 301 nucleotides long. It matches the Rfam family "Metazoan signal recognition particle RNA". Rfam says of the family: The signal recognition particle (SRP) is a universally conserved ribonucleoprotein. The record is from Ensembl. NCBI's taxonomy places the organism in Eukaryota, Metazoa, Chordata, Mammalia, Primates, Cercopithecidae.
GCUUGGCAUGGUGGCAUGUUCCUGUAGUCCCAGCUACUCAGUAGGCUGAGGAAGGAGGAUCACUUGAGUUCAGGAGUUCUGGGUUGUAGUGCACUAUGCCAAUUGGGCAUCCACACUAAGUUCAGCUUCAAUAUGGUGACUUCGUGGGAGAAGAGGACCAUCAGGUUGCCUAAGGAGGGGUGAACUGACCCAGGUCAGAAACAGAGCAGGUCAAAACUCCCAUUCUGAUUAGUAGUGGGAUCAUGCCUGUGAAUAGCCACUGCACUCCAACUUGGGAAACAUAGUGAGACCUGGUUUUCUU